Molecule: RNA transcript, 1898 nt
Organism: Vitis vinifera (wine grape)
Lineage: Eukaryota; Viridiplantae; Streptophyta; Magnoliopsida; Vitales; Vitaceae
Exons: 3
Source: RefSeq, a predicted model, not a curated record
AAUUUCUACCUCUGAUGCUAUAUGGAAAAUUAGUGAAUAACAAAAAAUAAUUAUUUGGCUUAGAUAUCAUUUUGUGUUUGAAUUCUGUUUGUGAAGAUGGAAGCUACAAAUUUGUUUAUGUUUCUUAAGAAAGAAAAAGGGGAUCCAACCAAGGGGAUGGGGGGAUGUCCGAAGAAUUCCAGUAUUCCAAGAAAGAGAUAACGGGAAGGAAGAUACCCUCUUUAUAGUUUAUACAGAAGCGACAAAGACAAAGAAACAAACAGCAAAGGGGAAAGUGAGUAUGCUCCCUCUGAGACUCCUCCGCUCUCUGGUUUUGGGUGACACCAUCAACAACCACCCUCUCCAUCUCCACCACCACCACCACCACCAUGAUGUUGUUGAUGAUGAUGAGGAGGAGGAGGAGGAGACCCAUAGGUCUGUCGAAGAAUUUGAAUCAAGUCGUCAUAAACCAAGAAAUAGAAGAAACUGCAAACCCAAAACCCCAGUUCUUUUCUUCAUACCCACCAAGGAGGUUGUGCAAGAUACCUAUAGAUUAGCCACAUUAGCAAGGGACAUGGGCAUGGAUUUGCAUCCAACCCCAUCAUUGUCCCACAUUAUCUUCUCAUGCCCUUCAUUCUCUUCCUCUUCAUCAUCUCCAUCACCAUUGUCUUCCAAAUCACUGCCCUCCUCAUGGUCUUGGUCUUGGUCAUCGUCUUCCUCUUCAUGGCCUUUGCCAAACUAUGCUGUUCCACUCCCUUUUCCCUCACUUUCCCAAGCCCCUCUCACCCACCUACACUCCUUUGUCACCCUCUCAAGAGGGUUGUUCAAGGUGGUCUUUGUGACCCACAGGGGUGAUUCAAACGAGGGAAAUGAUGGGAGGGCUAGUAAUUGGGAUUGUUCAUCAUUGUCUCUCUUUUCCCGGAUUUCGGGUGAUCGAAUUCAGACGAUGGAGGGGUUUUGUAGGGCUUUAACUGGGGUGGGGUGGAGCCUUUUCAAGACCAAGAAGAACCCAUCAUUGGAUUCGGGUGGCCGUCGAAUUCGGGGGUGUAACUCAGCGUAUUUGUUCAGGAAGGUGGAGUCUAAUCGGGUUCGGGCACGGCUGGGGAAUGGAGAUGGUGGUGAAGCAUCUGGGGAGUGUAGAGUUAGGGAACUGAGGUUGCCUCCACUGGAUUUCAGGAAUGCCCCUUUGAGGAUUUUGCAGUACAUUCUUCUGAUGACUGAUGACAUCUUCUACCUAGCAUAGAUUGGUUGUCGACAUGAAGCAUUACUGUCGGAUAUCUGUAAUUAACAUUCAUCACUUGGUUGGACCUAAUUGCUUCCUACUGUCCAACUGGUGUGACUGUAGAAAUCACCAGGACUCAGCAAUGGAGGGAGAUGUUCUGCUUUCUCUGUCCACUGCGCUCCUACAGUAUGAGGCACCCAUCUAAACUUGUCCAAUUCAGGGAAUGAUCACAAUUAAGUCUGCUUUUACGCUGCAAAACAGAUGGCAGUUAUGCCAUUCUGAAUCGUCACUUCUGCUCAUUGAACCUGUUGAGAGGCAUGUAUAUAGGAUAUCUACAGAAUGCAGAUCAAAGGCCUGUUGUUUGAUUUGCUUUGUUUAGGAUAUUUACUUAGCCUUAUAACUCUCCCUUUUCUGGGGCAAGCCCCAUGAGGUUGAAUCUCCAGGGACAAUGGUCUUUUUCAGGUUCUUGCAGUUAGCAACUAUCUUGAUAGCCUUUAGCUCGUUCUCAGCAAGCCUACCCGCCUUUACCCUCCAUUAGAGAAUCAUCAAUGUUGAGCAUCAGCAACUGGGUUGACCAUUUGCAUAGCUUCUCAACUUUCAUUUACACUGUAAUGGCUUCCUGUAGAUCAAGGCAGAUUUUGUUUCUUUUGAUGCGCUACUACAAGGAUUUGUAUAUUUUUUUUUUUUUUUCUGUUCA